RNAcentral lists this ribosomal RNA (253 nucleotides) under uncultured bacterium. Its description in RNAcentral is "partial 16S ribosomal RNA". It matches the Rfam family "Bacterial small subunit ribosomal RNA", at positions 524 to 776 of the family's 1533-position model. The record is from RNAcentral.
UACAGAGGUCUCAAGCGUUGUUCGGAUUCAUUGGGCGUAAAGGGUGCGUAGGCGGCGCGGUAAGUCGGGUGUGAAAUCCCUUGGCUUAACCAAGGAAGUGCAUUCGAUACUGUUUCGCUUGAGUAUCGGAGGGGUCGGCGGAAUUCCCGGUGUAGAGGUGAAAUUCGUAGAUAUCGGGAGGAACACCUGUGGCGAAGGCGGCCGACUGGACGAUCACUGACACUGAGACGCGAAAGCGUGGGUAGCAAACAGG